This 497-nucleotide ribosomal RNA is filed under the name uncultured bacterium. Its description in RNAcentral is "partial 16S ribosomal RNA". It matches the Rfam family "Bacterial small subunit ribosomal RNA", at positions 28 to 507 of the family's 1533-position model. The record is from RNAcentral.
GACGAACGCUGGCGGCGUGCCUAACACAUGCAAGUCGAGCGAACAGACGAGGAGCUUGCUCCUCUGACGUUAGCGGCGGACGGGUGAGUAACACGUGGAUAACCUACCUAUAAGACUGGGAUAACUUCGGGAAACCGGAUCUAAUACCGGAUAAUAUAUUGCACCGCAUGGUUCAAUAGUGAAAGACGGUUUUGCUGUCUCUUAUAGAUGGAUCCGGGCCGCAUUAGCUAGUUGGUGGGGUAACGGCUUACCACGGCAACUAUGCGUAGCCGACCUGAGAGGGUGAUCGCCCACACGGGAGCGGAGCCAGCGACCAGAGUCCUAAGGGAGGCACCAGUAGGGAAUGUGCGGCAGUGGGCGAGAGCAUUACGCAACAAGGCGGAGUGAGAGACAAAAGCGUCGGGAUCGUAAAGACGUGUUAUGGGGUGUAAACAAAUUUGGAAUGAAAUGAGCCGGGCGUGACGGUACCUGGUCAAAAAGCCCCGGCUAACUACGUG